AGGAUGAACGCUGGCGGCGUGCCUAAGACAUGCAAGUCGAGUGGGUUUAGACCCACGGCGAACGGGUGAGUAAUACCUAGGAACGUAUCUUUAGUUGAGGAUAUCCUCCCGAAAGGGAGAGCAAUACUCAAUGUGGCCGCAAGGCUAAAGUCGCAAGACGCUAAAGAAGCGGCCUGGGCACCAUCAGCUAGUUGGUAAGGUAAAAGCUUACCAAGGCUAUGACGGUUAGGGGUCCCGAGAGGGAUAACCCCCACACUGGAACUGCGACACGGUCCAGACUCCUACGGGAGGCAGCAGUUUGGAAUUUUGGACAAUGGGCGAAAGCCUGAUCCAGCGACGCCGCGUGGACGAUGAAGGCCUUCGGGUUGUAAAGUCCUUUUGCUCGGGAACAAUUUUGAGCGUACCGAGAGAAUAAGAGGUUGCUAACUCUGUGCCAGCAGCCGC
Molecule: ribosomal RNA, 444 nt
Filed under: uncultured bacterium
Lineage: Bacteria
Description: SSU rRNA
Rfam family: Bacterial small subunit ribosomal RNA
Source: RNAcentral